Molecule: ribosomal RNA, 479 nt
Filed under: uncultured bacterium
Lineage: Bacteria
Description: bacterial SSU rRNA
Rfam family: Bacterial small subunit ribosomal RNA
Source: RNAcentral
UGAGGCGCGCCGAGUUUGAUCCUGGCUCAGAUUGAACGCUGGCGGCAUGCUUUACACAUGCAAGUCGAACGGUAACAGGGAGCUUGCUCCGCUGACGAGUGGCGAACGGGUGAGUAAUGCAUCGGAACAUGCCCAGUCAUGGGGGAUAACUACGCGAAAGCGUAGCUAAUACCGCAUACGCCCUGAGGGGGAAAGUGGGGGACCGUAAGGCCUCACGCUAUUAGAGCGGCUGAUGUCGGAUUAGCUAGUUGGUGGGGUAAAGGCCUACCAAGGCGACGAUCCGUAGCUGGUCUGAGAGGACGACCAGCCACACUGGGACUGAGACACGGCCCAGACUCCUACGGGAGGCAGCAGUGGGGAAUUUUGGACAAUGGGCGCAAGCCUGAUCCAGCCAUGCCGCGUGAGUGAAGAAGGCCUUCGGGUUGUAAAGCUCUUUCAGAUGGAAAGAAAUCGGGUGGGUUAAUACCUUGCCUGGAUGA